UCAAGUAAUUAAGUGCAUGUGGUGGAUGCCUUGGCAGUCAGAGGCGAUGAAAGACGUGAUAGCCUGCGAAAAGCUCCGGGGAGGCGGCAAAUAUCCUUUGAUCCGGAGAUGUCUGAAUGGGGGAACCCACCUACUUUAAGGUAGGUAUUGCAACAUGAAUACAUAGUGUUGCAAGGCGAACGAGGGGAAGUGAAACAUCUCAGUACCCUUAGGAAAAGAAAUCAAUUGAGAUUCCCUCAGUAGCGGCGAGCGAACGGGGAUCAGCCCAUUAAGUUAUGUGUGUUUUAGUGGAACGCUCUGGGAAGUGCGAACGUAGAGGGUGAUAUUCCCGUACACGAAAGGGCACACAUAAUGAUGACGAGUAGGGCGAGGCACGUGAAACCUUGUCUGAAUAUGGGGGGACCAUCCUCCAAGGCUAAAUACUCCUGACUGACCGAUAGUGAACCAGUACCGUGAGGGAAAGGCGAAAAGAACCCCUGUGAGGGGAGUGAAAUAGAUCCUGAAACCGCAUGCAUACAAGCAGUGGGAGCACCUUCGUGGUGUGACUGCGUACCUUUUGUAUAAUGGGUCAGCGACUUAUAUUCAGUAGCAAGGUUAACCGUAUAGGGGAGCCGUAGAGAAAUCGAGUCUUAAUAGGGCGUUUAGUUGCUGGGUAUAGACCCGAAACCAGGCGAUCUAUCCAUGAGCAGGUUGAAGGUUGGGUAACACUAACUGGAGGACCGAACCCACUGUCGUUGAAAAGCCAGGGGAUGACUUGUGGAUAGGGGUGAAAGGCUAAUCAAGCCUGGUGAUAGCUGGUUCUCCCCGAAAGCUAUUUAGGUAGCGCCUCGGACGAAUACCAUAGGGGGUAGAGCACUGUUUCGGCUAGGGGGUCAUCCCGACUUACCAAACCGAUGCAAACUCCGAAUACCUAUGAGUACUAUCCGGGAGACAGACUGCGGGUGCUAACGUCCGUAGUCAAGAGGAAAACAAUCCAGACCGCCAGCUAAGGCCCCAAAAUCAUAGUUAAGUGGGAAACGAUGUGGGAAGGCAUAGACAGCUAGGAGGUUGGCUUAGAAGCAGCCACCCUUUAAAGAAAGCGUAAUAGCUCACUAGUCGAGUCGGCCUGCGCGGAAGAUGUAACGGGGCUAAAACUAUGUGCCGAAGCUGCGGAUNNUGCUGGAGGUAUCAGAAGUGCGAAUGCUGACGUGAGUAACGACAAAACGGGUGAAAAACCCGUUCGCCGAAAGACCAAGGGUUCCAGUCCAACGUUAAUCGGGGCUGGGUGAGUCGACCCCUAAGGCGAGGCCGAAAGGCGUAGUCGAUGGGAAAAUGGUUAAUAUUCCAUUACUUCUGUGUAAUGCGAUGAGAGGACGGAGAAGGCUAAAUCAGCCUGGCGUUGGUUGUCCAGGUGAAAGGAUGUAGGCAUGUAUCUUAGGCAAAUCCGGGGUACUCUAUGCUGAGAUCUGAUAGCAAGCUGUACUUGUACAGCGAAGUGGUUGAUGCCAUGCUUCCAGGAAAAGUCUCUAAGCUUCAGUUACACAGGAAUCGUACCCGAAACCGACACAGGUGGUCAGGUCGAGUAGACCAAGGCGCUUGAGAGAACUCUGCUGAAGGAACUAGGCAAAAUGGUACCGUAACUUCGGGAGAAGGUACGCUGUUGUUGGUGAUGGAACUCGCUUCCUGAGCUGACGACAGCCGCAGAAACCAGGCCGCUGCAACUGUUUAUUAAAAACAUAGCACUCUGCAAACACGAAAGUGGACGUAUAGGGUGUGAUGCCUGCCCGGUGCUGGAAGGUUAAUUGAUGGGGUUAGCGUAAGCGAAGCUCUUGAUCGAAGCCCCAGUAAACGGCGGCCGUAACUAUAACGGUCCUAAGGUAGCGAAAUUCCUUGUCGGGUAAGUUCCGACCUGCACGAAUGGCAUAAUGAUGGCGGCGCUGUCUCCAGCAGAGGCUCAGUGAAAUCGAAAUCGCUGUGAAGAUGCAGUGUACCCGCGGCUAGACGGAAAGACCCCGUGAACCUUUACUGCAGCUUGACACUGAACUUUGACCUUACUUGUGUAGGAUAGGUGGGAGGCUUUGAAGCUGGAACGCUAGUUCCAGUGGAGCCGUCCUUGAAAUACCACCCUGGUAAUGUUGAGGUUCUAACUCUGUCCCGUGAUCCGGGACGAGGACCGUGUCUGGUGGGUAGUUUGACUGGGGCGGUCUCCUCCUAAAGAGUAACGGAGGAGUACGAAGGUGCGCUCAGCGUGGUCGGAAAUCACGCGUAGAGUAUAAAGGCAAAAGCGCGCUUAACUGCGAGACCCACAAGUCGAGCAGGUACGAAAGUAGGUCUUAGUGAUCCGGUGGUUCUGUAUGGAAGGGCCAUCGCUCAACGGAUAAAAGGUACUCUGGGGAUAACAGGCUGAUACCGCCCAAGAGUUCAUAUCGACGGCGGUGUUUGGCACCUCGAUGUCGGCUCAUCUCAUCCUGGGGCUGAAGCAGGUCCCAAGGGUAUGGCUGUUCGCCAUUUAAAGAGGUACGCGAGCUGGGUUUAGAACGUCGUGAGACAGUUCGGUCCCUAUCUACCGUGGGCGCUGGAAAUUUGAGAGGAUCUGCUCCUAGUACGAGAGGACCAGAGUGGACGAACCUCUGGUGUACCGGUUGUGACGCCAGUCGCAUCGCCGGGUAGCUAUGUUCGGAAGGGAUAACCGCUGAAAGCAUCUAAGCGGGAAGCCUACCUCAAGAUAAGAUUUCCCUAGGACUUUAUGUCCUCUAAAGAGCCGUUCGAGACUAGGACGUUGAUAGGUUGGAUGUGGAAGCAUAGUGAUAUGUGAAGCUGACCAAUACUAAUUGCUCGUGAGGCUUGACUAU
Molecule: ribosomal RNA, 2831 nt
Filed under: Acinetobacter baumannii
Lineage: Bacteria; Pseudomonadati; Pseudomonadota; Gammaproteobacteria; Moraxellales; Moraxellaceae
Description: bacterial LSU rRNA
Rfam family: Bacterial large subunit ribosomal RNA
Source: RNAcentral